This 473-nucleotide ribosomal RNA is filed under the name uncultured bacterium. RNAcentral describes it as "bacterial SSU rRNA". It matches the Rfam family "Bacterial small subunit ribosomal RNA", at positions 335 to 801 of the family's 1533-position model. The record is from RNAcentral.
ACUCCUACGGGAGGCAGCAGUAGGAAGUCUUCCGACAAUGGCGCAAGCCUGAUGGAGCAACACCGCGUGAGUGAAGAAGGGUUUCGGCUCGUAAAGCUCUGUUGUUAAAGAAGAACACGUAUGAGAGUAACUGUUCAUACGUUGACGGUAUUUAACCAGAAAGUCACGGCUAACUACGUGCCAGCAGCCGCGGUAAUACGUAGGUGGCAAGCGUUAUCCGGAUUUAUUGGGCGUAAAGAGAGUGCAGGCGGUUUUCUAAGUCUGAUGUGAAAGCCUUCGGCUUAACCGGAGAAGUGCAUCGGAAACUGGAUAACUUGAGUGCAGAAGAGGGUAGUGGAACUCCAUGUGUAGCGGUGGAAUGCGUAGAUAUAUGGAAGAACACCAGUGGCGAAGGCGGCUACCUGGUCUGCAACUGACGCUGAGACUCGAAAGCAUGGGUAGCGAACAGGAUUAGAUACCCUGGUAGGAUAGCG